AAAUACAUAGCCCAUAGAGAGUUUGUUCAGCUGUGUUCUCCAGGCAUUUCAGCAACUGCUGUCAGGGGAGAGAGUACUCUGUUGAAGCCAUUUAUGACGAGACUCUUUGUGCUGUAUCCGUCCUAAGGCUGGAGAGGAAUGCAUUUAUGGAAUUCUUAAAUCUUGCCAGAAGAGGAAGGUGAAAACAGGAAAUGAUGAGCAGGAGGACGUCAGAAAAACCUAGAAAAACUGAUUCUGAGUGAAAUGAGCAGAACCAGAAGAACAUUGUACACAGGAAUGGCCACAUUGUAUAAUGAAUGACUUUGAGAGACUUGGCUCUUCUCAGCAAUGCAAGGAUCUAAGACAACUCCAAAAGGCUCUUGAUGGAAAAUGCUAUC
Phascolarctos cinereus (koala) is the source of this 377-nucleotide long non-coding RNA. RefSeq lists it as uncharacterized. Lineage: Eukaryota; Metazoa; Chordata; Mammalia; Diprotodontia; Phascolarctidae. The record is from RefSeq and is a predicted model, not a curated record.